GUGCCUGGUCCAGAACCGCCGCUCGCCAGCCGCUGUGUUGCAGUCGGCCACUCCUAUUCUCACUUCAACUGUAAGUUCUCCGAAUUCUCUCACCCUCAUUUUCAGUUAUGUCAACAGAUUGUUUUCUGGUGUUUCCACUUCAUUAGAAUUGUAUUCAUUUCAUGGUUGUGUUCAAGUGAAAGGUUUCGUUUUGUUGCAAAUGAUUUGUUGCAAAUGAUGCAUCUGUGUGCUCUACAUUUGGAGAGGAAUAUAAUGAGAUAUUGUUUUGUUUUACUGUAAUCCAUGACAUUUUAAACUCAAACAAGUUUGUCCUUGAUUGGCUUGCUGUUCAAUAUUUUGGUGUCAUAAAGUCCCAUGUUAUGAUUCUGCACUUACAUGUAAGGGGGCCUCUUUAAGUUUAAACUCUACAGUGAAAUUGUAAGUUUCUUCUUCUUCUUCUGUUCCUAUAAUCUAAACGUAUUGUAUUCAUUUCAUGGUUGUGUUCAACUACUAGAGUAUCUGGAAACUUUACAAUUCGCGGCGGCGGUAACCUUCUUCUUCUUCUUCUUCUAUAUUUUCCAGAUUUUUGGUUUAGAUUUUGUUAAUUAAUUCUUGUGAUUGCUUUACUUCCCUGUUUUGGUUUAGAUUUUUGGCUGGGAGUAAGCGAUUGUUGUACUUCCCUGUUUUGUUUUCGAAAUGAGCUGUAGUUAGUGAUGUAUUGUGUGAGUUGCUUUGUGAUCAUGUGUCAAAUUUUUCCUUUGCUAUUCUUUGGUUUUUGUUCCUAUCUUGGAGGAUUUGUUAUGGGUUAUUAUGGGUUAGCUUUGCGUAAUACUUAUCUGAUAUAAAGUAACUUAGAUUUUAAGAUGAGGAUGUGAUGCGCUGCAUAUACUUGGAAUGUUAAUAGUGGGUGAUUUUUAUUGGUUAAUUACCAGACUGUAGAAGAGGUAACACUUUUGUUUUAAUGGAAAUAGUCUCUCAAAUAUUUAUAGUUUCAGAUACAUAUGCUGCCUGCCAGUUAGUAUGGCAGUGAAGAUGGUCAUCCAAAUUCAGACAUUUCACUUUGAAUAAAUCCAUCAUUUUUACAGAAACCCUGCAAUCAUGAGAAUAUUCUUCCUGCAAUAAAGAAAAUUCUCCACUCAAUUUAUACAUGUAUCAUGCAUGACAGAACCGUAGAGAUGGAAUAAUCAUAAGCAAUAGAACAAAUAUAGCAGGUUUCAAGUCAUUCUUCCAUAUUCUAAAGAUGCGAAAAAGAAUAUUAUGUGGCCAAAGGAAAAACGUGCAACUUAUUGUAAGCGCCACAAUCAUCAUAUUUUCUCUAGAGAGUUCAUGUGAUGCCAAAUCUGAGCAUUUCUAUGGCUAACAUGUAUUCCUUUUCUUGCAAAAGAGAAUCAUGUUUCCUAGCGGAUGUUGUCUUUACAUUAUAAGCUGUUUUGUUGCUUGACUUUUUAUUCUUUGCACAUCCCUUUCUCUGUCAUUUUUGUCUUGAAAGGAGUAUAUGUCAUGUAUUGACUCCAUGAAAUGAUUUUAGAAAGGGAAGAAUUAUGUUGCUUUGAGGGUGAAGUCUUAAAAUUCAUUCUCUAUGAGAUGAUUUUAGACCUGGAAGAAUCAUGUUGCUUUUAUCAAUAUAUAAUACGAUUAAGGAAUCCUGCGCUCUCCUUAAUCCGGGGUCCUACGUGGCAUAUCUAAGAAUUCACCAUUCAAAAUCCCUGCAAUUCUAGAGCCUCUAGCUCAAUUCUCUAUCGCUGACGUGGCAAUAUAAUU
RNAcentral lists this long non-coding RNA (1740 nucleotides) under Salvia miltiorrhiza (redroot sage). RNAcentral's name for it is "long non-coding RNA (SMIL_LNC010324)". Lineage: Eukaryota; Viridiplantae; Streptophyta; Magnoliopsida; Lamiales; Lamiaceae. The record is from RNAcentral.